GUUGGUGUUGAUGACGCUGAGGGUCCACCUGUUCCCAUACCGAACACAGAAGUUAAGCUCAGUGGUGCCGAAAAUACUUGGCUGGUGACGGCCCGGGAAGAUAGGGAAAUGCCAACA
Molecule: ribosomal RNA, 117 nt
Filed under: Ruminococcus sp. A254.MGS-254
Lineage: Bacteria; Bacillati; Bacillota; Clostridia; Eubacteriales; Oscillospiraceae
Source: RNAcentral